AAAGUCGUAACAAGGUAACCGUAGGUGAACCUGCGGUUGGAUCAUUAAAAAUAUAAUUUGGCUGACGACGUGUCCGUGAAAAGAUUACGUCGUCGCUCGCCAAUCCACACCCUUGUGAACCAUUGAAAUGUCUCUUGGCGAUAAGCGCUUGAAAUCCGCAGAACUUCAUUAUGGGCCUGAAAAUCAGCUUGACCGGGCCUCGAUAACUUGCGGUUGGUUUCUGCUUCGUAAGAAGCGAUCCAGGGUGCUGUCGUCAGUCAAGCGAAGAACCACGCUUUUAUUGAUUACAUUUAUGCUGAGAUAUUUGAUGACUAAAUAAGAAACAACUUUAGACAACGGAUCUCUUGGCUCUC
Molecule: unclassified non-coding RNA, 353 nt
Filed under: Chytridiomycota sp.
Lineage: Eukaryota; Fungi; Chytridiomycota
Description: partial contains small subunit ribosomal RNA, internal transcribed spacer 1, and 5.8S ribosomal RNA
Rfam family: Eukaryotic small subunit ribosomal RNA (bases 1-47)
Source: RNAcentral